This 434-nucleotide ribosomal RNA is filed under the name uncultured bacterium. Its description in RNAcentral is "partial 16S ribosomal RNA". It matches the Rfam family "Bacterial small subunit ribosomal RNA", at positions 481 to 914 of the family's 1533-position model. The record is from RNAcentral.
UACAAANAAGCCCCUUGCUAACUUCGUGCCAGCAGCCGCGGUAAUACGAAGGGGGCUAGCGUUGUUCGGAUUUACUGGGCGUAAAGCGCACGUAGGCRGACUAUUAAGUCAGGGGUGAAAUCCCGGGGCUCAACCCCGGAACUGCCUUUGAKACUGGWAGUCUCGAVUCCGGAAGAGGUGAGUGGAAUUCCGAGUGUARARGUGAAAUUCRUAKAUAUUCGGAGGAACACCAKUGGCRAAGGCGGCUCACUGGWCCGGUACUGACGCUGAGGUGCGAAAGCKUGGGGAGCAAACAGGAUUAGAUACCCUGGUAGUCCACGCUGUAAACGAUGGAAGCUAGCCGUUGGCAGGUUUACCUGUCGGUGGCGCAGCUAACGCAUUAAGCUUCCCGCCUGGGGAGUACGGUCGCAAGAUUAAAACUCVAAUGAAUUGAC